Molecule: ribosomal RNA, 294 nt
Filed under: Citrobacter freundii
Lineage: Bacteria; Pseudomonadati; Pseudomonadota; Gammaproteobacteria; Enterobacterales; Enterobacteriaceae
Description: partial 16S ribosomal RNA
Rfam family: Bacterial small subunit ribosomal RNA
Source: RNAcentral
ACUUAAAUUGAAGAGUUUGAUCAUGGCUCAGAUUGAACGCUGGCGGCAGGCCUAACACAUGCAAGUCGAACGGUAGCACAGAGGAGCUUGCUCCUUGGGUGACGAGUGGCGGACGGGUGAGUAAUGUCUGGGAAACUGCCCGAUGGAGGGGGAUAACUACUGGAAACGGUAGCUAAUACCGCAUAACGUCGCAAGACCAAAGAGGGGGACCUUCGGGCCUCUUGCCAUCGGAUGUGCCCAGAUGGGAUUAGCUAGUAGGUGGGGUAACGGCUCACCUAGGCGACGAUCCCUAGC